This 524-nucleotide ribosomal RNA is filed under the name uncultured bacterium. RNAcentral's name for it is "bacterial SSU rRNA". It matches the Rfam family "Bacterial small subunit ribosomal RNA", at positions 338 to 855 of the family's 1533-position model. The record is from RNAcentral.
CCUACGGGAGGCAGCAGUAAGGAAUAUUGGUCAAUGGAGGCAACUCUGAACCAGCCAUGCCGCGUGCAGGAUGAAGGCCCUAUGGGUCGUAAACUGCUUUUACACAAGAGAAAACCCGAGUACGUGUACUCGGUUGAUAGUAUUGUGAGAAUAAGCAUCGGCUAACUUCGUGCCAGCAGCCGCGGUAAGACGAAGGAUGCAAGCGUUAUCCGGAUUCAUUGGGUUUAAAGGGUGCGUAGGCGGACCUGUAAGUCAGUGGUGAAAUCUCUUUGCUUAACAAAGAAACUGCCAUUGAUACUGCAAGUCUAGAGUAUAGAUGACGUUGGCGGAAUAUGACAUGUAGUGGUGAAAUACUUAGAUAUGUCAUAGAACACCGAUUGCGAAGGCAGCUAACGAAACUAUAAACUGACGCUGAGGCACGAAAGUGGNGGAGUACAACAGAUAGUAUACCUACGUAGUCGCACGUAACGAUANAUACUCGUUGUUGUGAUAUAGUACGUCGAGCGACCGAACGACGAAGACGA